RNAcentral lists this ribosomal RNA (168 nucleotides) under Trichiurus japonicus (largehead hairtail). Its description in RNAcentral is "partial 12S ribosomal RNA". The record is from RNAcentral. Lineage: Eukaryota; Metazoa; Chordata; Actinopteri; Scombriformes; Trichiuridae.
CACCGCGGUGAUACGAAAGACUCAAGCUGACAGCCCACGGCGUAAAGCGUGGUUAGGGUAAAUAAAAAUUAAAGCCGAACGCCCCUUAGGCCGUCAAAAGCAUAUGGGGGCAUGAAGCCCACUUACGAAAGUAGCUUUAUACUUCCUGAACCCACGAAAGCUAAGAAA